AUACGGAGGGUGCAAGCGUUAUCCGGAAUCAUUGGGUUUUAAGGGUCCGUAGGCGGACUAAUAAGUCAGGGGUGAAAUCCCACAGCUUAACUGUGGAACUGCCUUUGAUACUGUUAGUCUUGAGGUAUAUGGAAGUAGAUAGAAUGUGUAGUGUAGCGGUGAAAUGCUUAGAGAUUACACAGAAUACCGAUUGCGAAGGCAGUCUACUACAUAUAUACUGACGCUAAUGGACGAAAGCGUGGGGAGCGAACAGGAUUAGAAACCCGGGUAGUCC
RNAcentral lists this ribosomal RNA (274 nucleotides) under uncultured bacterium. Its description in RNAcentral is "partial 16S ribosomal RNA". It matches the Rfam family "Bacterial small subunit ribosomal RNA", at positions 523 to 796 of the family's 1533-position model. The record is from RNAcentral.